AGAGUUUGAUCCUGGCUCAGAUUGAACGCUGGCGGAAUGCUUUACACAUGCAAGUCGAACGAUGAAGUCUAGCUUGCUAGACGGAUUAGUGGCGAACGGGUGAGUAAUAUAUCGGAACGUAUCCAUUAAUGGGGGAUAACUAGUCGAAAGAUUGGCUAAUACCGCAUACGUCCUACGGGAGAAAGUUAGGGACCUUCGGGCCUGGCGUUAAUGGAGCGGCCGAUAUCUGAUUAGCUAGUUGGUGAGGUAAAGGCUCACCAAGGCGACGAUCAGUAGCUGGUCUGAGAGGACGACCAGCCACACUGGAACUGAGACACGGUCCAGACUCCUACGGGAGGCAGCAGUGGGGAAUUUUGGACAAUGGGCGCAAGCCUGAUCCAGCCAUUCCGCGUGAGUGAAGAAGGCCUUCGGGUUGUAAAGCUCUUUCGCAAGGAAAGAAAACUUAGCCACUAAUACUGGCUGAGGAUGACGGUACCUUGAUAAGAAGCACCGGCUAACUACGUGCCAGCAGCCGCGGUAAUACGUAGGGUGCGAGCGUUAAUCGGAAUUACUGGGCGUAAAGCGUGCGCAGGCGGUUUCGUAAGUCAGAUGUGAAAUCCCCGGGCUCAACCUGGGAACUGCGUUUGAAACUGCGAGGCUAGAGUGUAGAAGAGGGGGGUAGAAUUCCACGUGUAGCAGUGAAAUGCGUUGAGAUGUGGAGGAAUACCGAUGGCGAAAGCAGCCCCCUGGGCUAACACUGACGCUCAUGCACGAAAGCGUGGGGAGCAAACAGGAUUAGAUACCCUGGUAGUCCACGCCCUAAACGAUGUCUACUAGUUGUUGGUGGAGUAAAAUCCAUUAGUAACGCAGCUAACGCGUGA
RNAcentral lists this ribosomal RNA (860 nucleotides) under uncultured bacterium. RNAcentral describes it as "bacterial SSU rRNA". It matches the Rfam family "Bacterial small subunit ribosomal RNA", at positions 8 to 862 of the family's 1533-position model. The record is from RNAcentral.